Molecule: RNA transcript, 4530 nt
Organism: Rhododendron vialii
Lineage: Eukaryota; Viridiplantae; Streptophyta; Magnoliopsida; Ericales; Ericaceae
Gene name: probable disease resistance protein At4g27220
Exons: 6
Source: RefSeq, a predicted model, not a curated record
GGCCAGAGGAAAAAAAAGAAGCUGUCGGAGUACUUAACUUAUUGUUUUGCAUUUCCUAUACAUAUCUCACGAUACGGUUCGAUCGACUUCCAAGAGACGAGGUGUGUGUUGUGCUCCGGGAAUCCCACACACUCAUAUAUGAGGAAAAAUUCCGCUUGUAUUAAUCGAAUCAAAUACAAACUUGAAAAACCCUCCCCUCACUCUGGUUCUCUCUCUCUCUUAGUUUCCCUAUACACAUAUAUGUACAGGAGGAAGACGGGAGUAAACACAUGGGGGUAGUUGCCGACACUGUCACUGCCUACAAUAGCUCGAGGACAAAUGAUCGAUCGUCUACAUCUGGUUCCUUAACCACUUGGGAGGACUAUGCUGACUAAGUCAACAGUGUGUUGCCUUUGAUGCGAAAGGCAAAUUGAAAGACGGGAAACUGCAAGAAAAAGAACAAAUUAAGAAGAGAGAUAAAAUGAAUGUUGUGGACCAGAUUGUGGGUAAAAUCUCAGAAGUAGCCAUCACAAAGUGUUUCUGUCACAUCGGCUAUCUAUAUCACUACAACGAUAACGUUCAAAAUCUAGAAGCCGAGACCGAAGGACUUGAAGUUGUGCUGGGAAGUAUCAAUAAUCGGGCAGAGAGAGACCUACGCAAUGCACAAGUCAUCAAGCCUGAUGUUGUAAAGUGGCAAAAGGAUGCAGCGGAGAUGCUACGUGAAGUCCACACAUUUCUAGCAAACAGAGAAAGAUCAAACACUAAAUGUCUCAAUUUUUUGUGUCCGAAUCUAAAGUGGCGUUACCGUCUAGGCAAGGAGUCCAAACGGAAGACAGCUGUUGUUAUUAGUCUCAAAGGGCGUGGCACCAUGUUUCAGCCAGUAUUGUCAAUGUCAUACCCGGCACCUACACCAGAGUCCCCUCUCACAAAUCACGACGAUUUUGAUUCAAGACAAGAGAUCUAUAAGAGGAUAUUGGAGGCGCUAAAGGAUCCUACCAUUAAGAUGUUUGGCGUGCAUGGUGCAGGAGGUGUUGGCAAGACGAGAAUGGUGAAAGAGGUUCGCAGUCAAUUGAAGAGAGAUGGGCUUUUUGAUGAUGUGGCUAUUGCGGUUGUCUCUCGAAAUCUGGAUGUUAAAAAGGUUCAAGGAGAGCUUGCAGCACAAUUGGGACUAAAACUGGAUGACCGCGGAAGAGAAGAUAGACUAUUAUUGACUAGACUGCAGAAUGGGAAGAAGAACCUUGUAAUACUGGACGACGUUUGGAAUCCAAUUGACUUGGAGGAAAUUGGAAUUCCUACUUCAAUAGACGAAGGCAACAAGGACGGUUGCUGCAAAGUUCUGGUAACAUCCCGGAAGAACCUUUUCCACAUGAUCACACCAAAAGCAUCGACCAGAGUGUUUUUAAUCCCAAUUUUAAAAGAGAUGGAAGCACGGACCCUAUUUAUGAAGACAGCAGAAAUUUCAGUCAACUCUGAGGAAGAAAUGUCUUCUGUAGAAAAAGCGGUGUGUGACGAAUGUGCAGGCUUGCCUGUUGCUAUUCUUGCUGUUGCAAAAGCAUUGCAAGGUAAAGAGAGCUACGCGUGGCAAGAUGCACUCACGCAACUGAAAAGCUGUAAUUUUAACCAGAUCGUAGACAUAGACCCAAAUUUGUUCUCUUCCUUGAAAUUCAGCUAUGAUUAUCUAGAACCAAGGGAUGCACGUUCAUGCUUCCUGCUUUGCUCUCUAUUUCCAGAAGAUGCUGAGAUUUCAAUUGACGAUUUGGUGAGAUAUAGCUCUGGGAUGAGGUUGCUUGGUGCAAUUCACAGUACCUCGCUUGAAGACGUAAGAAACAGAGUACUUACAUUGGUUACAUGCCUCAAGGCAUCUUGUUUGCUGUUAGACGGUGAGGACAACAACACAGUGAAAAUGCACGAUGUAAUACGAGAUGUUGCUAUUAUAAUAGCAAAAGAUGAGAAGGGAUAUCUCGUGAAACAUGAUCUCAAAAAGUGGCCAGAGGGAGGCACUUAUGAAGGUUAUUCGGCCAUCUCAUUGAUGUCUGAAUAUUUUUGUGAGAUUCCAAGAGAAUUGGGAUGUAAAGAACUUCGUACGUUGGUGUUGAGAAGCAAGGAUUCCUCACUUCCAGACAGCUUUUUCAAUGGGAUGGAGACCAAUCUCAAAGUCCUCGAUCUUAGCGGCACGGCUAUUGAAAGCCUCCCAAUCUCACUUUCAAAGUUGGUUAAGCUGCGGAUGUUAUUUCUCCCAGGUGGAAUCAGAAACAUAUCUCUAUUGGGGGAGUUAAAGAGCCUCGAAAUACUCUGCUUUGAUGGGAUUUACGAGCUGGCACCACAGAUUAGACAGUUAACUUCUUUGAAGUUGCUAGAUUUGGGAAAUGCUGUGUUGAGAAGACUGAGUGUAAUUCCUCCAAAUGUCUUAUCUAAUUUGACAAGGAUGGAGGAAUUAUGCAUUCCAGAUUACUUUGCUGAGUGGCAAGACGAAGCAACCAACGUAGAAAGAAAGAACGCAAGCCUGGUUGAACUGAACUCGUUAACUUGUUUAACCACUCUAAAAGUUCGUAUACCACAAGGCAAAUCAUCACCCAACAACCUCUGCUUUGAAAAUCUUGUCAGAUUUAGAAUAUCGUUUGGCAAACAUUUUUAUCUCAUUGAAGAACCAGGAUCAUCCACAAGUAUCUUAGAACUCUCUAGUGUUCCCUUAGAAGACAAGUUCAAAGUUUUGCUUAUGAAAUCUGAAGUGUUAUAUCUCCAUGAAGUGACGUGUGAUGGUGGUGAAGAUCAUCUUGGAACACUAGAGCAGUUUUCGAGUAUAUCAAGGCCUUUCUGCAACUUAAGUACAUUAUAUGUUCAGAAUUGUACGUUUAAAUAUCUCUUCAACCUCUCCGUUGCGAGACGCCUAGAGCAACUCCAAAGGCUUGUUGUCGAGGACUGUUCUAAUAUGGAAGUCAUUGUUGGAAACGAAACACGAGGAGAAGAUGAAGAAUUUACUUUUCCUCGGUUAAAAGCAAUCAAAUUGCGGAACAUACCGAACCUCAAAAGCUUCUGUCCAAGUAAGAGGCCUAACUCGAUAACAGGGGAUAGCAAUUCUGACCCUGCACAACCACUUUUUUGUGAAAAGGUUGUGGUCCCUGUGUUGGAGGAAUUAGAAAUUAAUGGUUUGGAUAACAUAUCAGAGAUAUGGGACAAACAAUUUAAACCAAUAAUGAAAGAAGGGACACGAUCCUUCAGUCAGUUAUGGUCCCUGCGAGUGAAUCAGUGUCCCAGACUCGUGAAUGUGGUUCCCUUUAAUAUAGUGCCAAGGUUAACGAAUCUGAAAUACCUUUUUGUCAGCAAUUGUAAUUUGGUGGUUCAUGAAAUUGAAGACCAAAUAACAGCGGGCUUGCCUUCAUUAGAAAGUUUAGCUUUAUAUGAUCUACAGAACUUGAGGGAGACGGGAUUGAACAAGAAGGAAGAUUCUCUCCGUGGAUUUAAUGUUGUCUACCCAAACAUAAACAGUAUUCAUAUUGGCGCCUGUCCCAAUCUAGAAAGUAUGUUCUCAGCCUCAACAGCCAGAAACCUAGCUCAUCUCCGAAGCUUGAUGAUAAAUAAUCUUUCCGAUUCAGAUUCAACACAGAAGGCAAUAGUAGAGACUCCAAAACAAAGAGAUGGAGCGAGCGAUGAGCCUUUUGUCUUCCCUGAACUGGAUCAUAUGCAACUUAUGGGUCCCCAAAGUUUCUGCAACAGUUAUGGACCCGAAGAAUCCCUCUUCAACCAAAAGGUGGUGUUUCCUUGCUUGCAAUAUUUAGUCAUUUCGAGGUUUAGAGGCAACGUUAAAGGAAUAUGGGAUAGGACACCACCAGCCGACUCUUUCCAAAAACUAACAUUUCUCAAUUUGUAUGGAUGUGAUAGCUUAUUGUAUGUUGCUCCAUCAGAACUACUACUCGGGAGUCUGCAGAACCUCCAAACCCUCAUAAUAACAUCAUGUGAGUUACUGGAAGAGGUAUUCAAAAACAGAGUAUCAGAUUCCGGGGAAGGAAUAGUUUCAAAACAUGAAUCAUUGUAUGUUGAUACCAAUGUUGUGCUGCCACGAUUAAGAUCAGUUCAUCUAUCUGAUUUACCACGUCUUAAAAGCUUUUGCUCUGGGAGCAAAUUGCCAUCCUCAGUACAAAGAGAGAUAAGCAACUGCCCCCUUUUGGAGACUCCCUUCUGAGACUACAAAAGCGGGAAAAUGUCCCUCGCGAAUAAAGAGGUGAUUCAAUAUCGUGCUCUACGCCAGCCAUGUUUGUUUCGCCUUUCUGGAAGUUCAUCAUCAAUGAAGGUUCAAUCCGAUAACAUGCCCAAUCAUCCAUUUGGUUAGUAAAUAACGAAUAAUGUGUGCACUUGUGUGUAAUUACGGCAAUAUGACCCGUAAAACUGUAUUGAUUGCUCUGUAUAUUCUUCAGUGUGUAUUUGUUUGUUUAAUUAUGCAAACACUUGUGAGUGUCCAUAUUUCUAAGAGUCCAUUGUGCUCCCUACUGGCAGAACGGAACUCAAUUAAACUUGUGUCACUAUACCGUUACGGUAUAUGUUGGGAUUCAAAUA